Molecule: ribosomal RNA, 482 nt
Filed under: uncultured bacterium
Lineage: Bacteria
Description: partial 16S ribosomal RNA
Rfam family: Bacterial small subunit ribosomal RNA
Source: RNAcentral
AUUGAACGCUGGCGGCAUGCCUUACACAUGCCAGUCGAACGGUAACGGGCCUUCGGGUGCCGGCGAGUGGCGAACGGGUGAGUAAUACAUCGGAACGUGCCCGAUCGUGGGGGAUAACGAGGCGAAAGCUUUGCUAAUACCGCAUACGAUCUACGGAUGAAAGCAGGGGACCGCAAGGCCUUGCGCGGACGGAGCGGCCGAUGGCAGAUUAGGUAGUUGGUGGGAUAAAAGCUUACCAAGCCGACGAUCUGUAGCUGGUCUGAGAGGAUGAUCAGCCACACUGGGACUGAGACACGGCCCAGACUCCUACGGGAGGCAGCAGUGGGGAAUUUUGGACAAUGGGCGCAAGCCUGAUCCAGCCAUGCCGCGUGCAGGAUGAAGGCCUUCGGGUUGUAAACUGCUUUUGUACGGAACGAAAAGCCUUCUUUUAAUACAGGAGGGUCAUGACGGUACCGUAAGAAUAAGCACCGGCUAACUACGUG